This 290-nucleotide unclassified non-coding RNA is filed under the name uncultured Lacrymaria. RNAcentral's name for it is "sequence contains ITS2". The stretch from base 1 to 52 matches the Rfam family "5.8S ribosomal RNA", at positions 103 to 154 of the family's 154-position model. Lineage: Eukaryota; Fungi; Basidiomycota; Agaricomycetes; Agaricales; Agaricaceae. The record is from RNAcentral.
AACGCACCUUGCGCUCCUUGGUAUUCCGAGGAGCAUGCCUGUUUGAGUGUCAUUAAAUUCUCAACUUCAACUUUGUUGUUGAAGCUUGGAUGUGGGGGUUUUGCAGGUCUGCCUUAAUUGUGUGGUCUGCUCUCCUGAAAUAUAUUAGCGGGUUGGCUUCCCUCUAUCAGUGUGAUAAUUAUCUACGCUGUGGAUGGGUUUGGCUUUCAGACCAGCUUCUAAUCGUCCUUUUAGGACAAUCUCUUGACAUUUUUGACCUCAAAUCAGGUAGGACUACCCGCUGAACUUAA